GAACGCGAAGAAACCUUACCAGGUCUUGACAUCCUCGUAGGCUCUACUACCUCUAAAAGAUAUAAGUAGAGAUUUCCACUUCGGGGCACUGCGAGAGACAGGUGGUGCAUGGCUGUCGUCAGCUCGUGUCGUGAGAUGUUGGGUUAAGUCCCGCAACGAGCGCAACCCUUGUCUUUAGUUGCCAUCAUUAAGUUGGGCACUCUAAAGAGACUGCCGGUGACAAACCGGAGGAAGGUGGGGAUGACGUCAAGUCAUCAUGCCCCUUAUGACCUGGGCUACACACGUGCUACAAUGGGCAGUACAACGAGAAGCGAACCCGCGAGGGUAAGCGGAUCUCUUAAAGCUGUUCUCAGUUCGGACUGCAGGCUGCAACUCGCCUGCACGAAGCUGGAAUCGCUAGUAAUCGCGGAUCAGCACGCCGCGGUGAAUACGUUCCCGGGUCUUGUACACACC
This 453-nucleotide ribosomal RNA is filed under the name uncultured bacterium. Its description in RNAcentral is "bacterial SSU rRNA". It matches the Rfam family "Bacterial small subunit ribosomal RNA", at positions 957 to 1391 of the family's 1533-position model. The record is from RNAcentral.